RNAcentral lists this long non-coding RNA (1319 nucleotides) under Homo sapiens (human). RNAcentral's name for it is "HSALNT0179070". The record is from RNAcentral. Lineage: Eukaryota; Metazoa; Chordata; Mammalia; Primates; Hominidae.
AAAUUAAACAAAUGAACAUGUUCAUCAUGUGUGGAAUAACCACACAGACCGUAACCCUUUUUUUCUUUUAACUGAGACAAGGUCUGGCUCUAUUGCCCAGGCUGGAGGGCAGUGGCGCGAUCCUGACUUGCUGCAACUCCACCUCCUGGGCUCAAGCCAUCUUCUCCCACCUCAGCCUCCCAAGUAGCUGGGACUACAGGCAGGCACUACCAUGCCCAGCUAAUUUUUUUUUUUUAUUUUUUGCAGAGACAGAGUUUCGCCACGUCCAGGCUGGUCUUGAACUUGUGAGCUUAAGCGAUCCACCUGCCUCGGCCUCCAGAAGUGCUGGGAUUACACGCAAUUGAGCCACCGAGCCGGGCCAACAGAGUAACUAUUUCAAGAAUCGUCUGGGGGUUGCGGACUGGGUAGGAGGUCCUGGAAAAUUACGUGGACUGCUACUGGGAUUACUUCCACUGAAGAGGGUUGCCGGAUGCUGAUCUGCUGUCAAGCUGUAUUUCCUGUCCUGUGUCCUUCUAAGUGAACACGAUGCCACGCGUGGUCUACGGUAGUCUUUGCUCCAGCUCCCCAUUCACUGCUGUAUUUGGUGUGGAUGUCUCUGCAGUAUGAGCUAUUUUAAGGAGUCAGGGCUGGAAGAGACACUGAGAGAGCUUCUGGCCCCCAUUCAAGGACCUCCUCCUAAACACUUCUCUGUGAUGCAUGAAAAGGAGAUGACAAACCUCUGUGCAGGCAAGCUGGGGUGCAAAAAAGCAAGGACAAUAGCGAGCCCAUCCAGAGCUUAAAGGACGUUUAUGGAAUGUGUAUGACUCUGGAAAGAAGUACUAGUGAUGCGCAGACUGAAUGAAGAGGAAGGAACUAUAAAGGGCCCUUUUAGUCUCCUGCUUCUGGAAGUCUUAGGGUCUUACAAAUGGUAGUCAUAGCCAUCUUUCCCCUCUAUCUCCUAUACAUCUCCUGCCAGCCAUGCUGAUGCUACAGGGCCUCCCAAAGUGCCUGUCUGUUCACUCCUCUGGGCUUUGGUAUGUGCCAUUUCUUCUGCCUGGGAUGCCCUCCCUUCCACCCCUUCUGCACCUUGAAGUCCUUGAAGGUCCAAUGCCAGCAAUUCUUUCUCUUUGAAUCUUUCACUGAUCUUCCCCAAAUAAAGUUAAACACUUUCAACACUUCUCUGUCCUAAAACUUCACUUGCUGUAUACAAUUGUUUGUUCAAAUAUCUGCCUCAUCCUUAAGGGAUGGGAUUAUGCCUGUCAGCUCUAUUUCCUAGCCCCUGGGACAGAGUUACUCUUUUAAAUGUCUAUCCUAUAGAAAUAAAAAAUUAAUUAAUGGGC